GGGCCUUUAGCUCAGUGGUUAGAGCAGUCGACUCAUAAUCGAUUGGUCCGGGGUUCAAGUCCCUGAAGGCCCA
Molecule: transfer RNA, 73 nt
Filed under: Vibrio phage 2.275.O._10N.286.54.E11
Lineage: Duplodnaviria; Heunggongvirae; Uroviricota; Caudoviricetes
Description: tRNA-Met
Rfam family: tRNA
About the family: Transfer RNA (tRNA) molecules are approximately 80 nucleotides in length. Their secondary structure includes four short double-helical elements and three loops (D, anti-codon, and T loops). Further hydrogen bonds mediate the characteristic L-shaped molecular structure. tRNAs have two regions of fundamental functional importance: the anti-codon, which is responsible for specific mRNA codon recognition, and the 3' end, to which the tRNAs corresponding amino acid is attached (by aminoacyl-tRNA synthetases). tRNAs cope with the degeneracy of the genetic code in two manners: having more than one tRNA (with a specific anti-codon) for a particular amino acid; and 'wobble' base-pairing, i.e. permitting non-standard base-pairing at the 3rd anti-codon position.
Source: RNAcentral